GGGGGCGAAACGGUCUCGACGGGGUCAGUGAACCCGUGGGAGCGAGUCGGGGUUUCCGGAACCACGUCAAAAAACCGGAACAAAAAAAGUGCCAACACUGAAUUUGCUCUCGCUGCUUAAUUAGAUAAAGCAGCCGUCCCUGCGGAAGACUGAUCCGGAAUUCCGCAGAAGGGCGUCAUAACUCCGGAUCUUACCCGGAACGCAGCCCCGACGUUUCGGGGACAUUUCAGGGGCUUGGAAAGGUACACUCUGUCCGCGUAGUGGACCUUUCGACAUCGAACGCGGACUGCGCUCGGAGAGCUCACGGGGGAUCUGACUUCGGACGCGGGUUCGACUCCCGCCGCCUCCACCA
Non-coding RNA from Kosmotoga pacifica, 352 nucleotides. NCBI's taxonomy places the organism in Bacteria, Thermotogati, Thermotogota, Thermotogae, Kosmotogales, Kosmotogaceae. The record is from Rfam.